AUAAAAUAAUUAUGUUUUUGGAAAUUUAUUAUAAAUUUAUUUUACAUAUAAAUUUUAGUAUAUAAUUUUAAUUAUUUAAAUAAUAAUUAAUUUAUUUUGGUAGUAAUUAAUAUUAAAAAUUUAAGAAAUUAAGAUUUAGUAAUAUAAAAAUUAAUAACUAAUUUUGUGCCAGCAGUUGCGGUUAAACAAAAGUUAAAUUAAAUUAUUUCAGUAUAUAAUAAAUAAUUAAAUUAUUAAAAUAAAUAUUAAAUUAUUAAGUGAAAUUUUAAUUUAAUUAAAUUUUAUUUUAAAAUUAUGAUUUAAUAAAUUUUAAUAUAAACUAGGAUUAGAUACCCUAUUAUUAAAAAUUUAAUUUAUAAUACUAAAAUAGUAAAUAAUAAUUUAUUGAAACUUAAAUAACAUGGCGGUAUUUUAGUUCAUUUAGAGGAAUCUGUCUAAUAAUUGAUAAUCCACGAAUAAAUUUACUUAAUUUAUAAUUUUGUAUAUCAUUGUUAAAAAAAUAUUUUUUAGGAAAAAUAAUAUUUAAAAAUUAUAAUAAAAAAUUAAAUCAGAUCAAGAUGCAGAAUAUAAUUAAGAAUAUGAUGGAUUACAUUAAAUAUAUUUAUAUGAAUAAUUUUAUUGUAAUAAAAAUUUGAAGGUGGAUUUAAAUGUAAUUUUAAUUAGUUUAUUAAAAUGAUUAAAAAUUAAAAUAUGUACAUAUUGCCCGUCACUUUCAUUUAAAAAUUGAAAUAAGUCGUAACAAAGUAGAGGUACUGGAAAGUGUUUCUAGAAAGA
This 774-nucleotide non-coding RNA is filed under the name Junonia genoveva hilaris. The record is from RNAcentral. Lineage: Eukaryota; Metazoa; Arthropoda; Insecta; Lepidoptera; Nymphalidae.